Long non-coding RNA from Adelges cooleyi (spruce gall adelgid), 444 nucleotides. RefSeq lists it as uncharacterized. The transcript is spliced from 3 exons. The record is from RefSeq and is a predicted model, not a curated record. Lineage: Eukaryota; Metazoa; Arthropoda; Insecta; Hemiptera; Adelgidae.
GCCACUCCGUACCGUUCGUAAUUAAUGUAUUGAUGUUCAUUAUAAUAGAUACAGUUUGUUAAAAUCUGGGAAAUGCUGUCACCUUACGACGAAGAUAAGAUGUGCACGUCGUAAAUAUAUUACUCCUGAUGAACCCAAAGAUCUUCUUUUUUCAUUACCAGAUAACUGGAAAACAGCUACAAUGGAAGCAUCGCGAUGUCUUCUCGGGCCGUUGACGCACGCACCCGCCGCCCUGGUCUAUCCCGUUCACCCGUUGGGACGCUGUCUGUCCCGUUCUGCCUCUUCCUUUUCACGAAGGACGAGUUCCGCAAAUGACCAUGACGAUCUAUGUUUUUCAAAUUUCUAGUAUGAGGUGGCCUACUUAUUGGACAAAUAAAUUUGCAUCAAACUACAAUUCAAGUAAGAACUUUUUAUAUUUUUCUAUCUUUUGCCCCUUAAGAGGAC